UACAGAGGUCUCAAGCGUUGUUCGGAUUCAUUGGGCGUAAAGGGUGCGUAGGCGGUAGCACAAGUCAGUUGUGAAAUCUCCGGGCUUAACUCGGAAAGGUCAACUGAUACUGCGCGGCUAGAGUGCAGAAGGGGCAACUGGAAUUCUCGGUGUAGCGGUGAAAUGCGUAGAUAUCGAGAGGAACACCUGCGGCGAAGGCGGGUUGCUGGGCUGACACUGACGCUGAUGCGCGAAAGCCAGGGGAGCGAACGGG
RNAcentral lists this ribosomal RNA (253 nucleotides) under uncultured bacterium. RNAcentral's name for it is "partial 16S ribosomal RNA". It matches the Rfam family "Bacterial small subunit ribosomal RNA", at positions 524 to 776 of the family's 1533-position model. The record is from RNAcentral.